AAAAGUCCUGGGUUAAUAUUCUAAGGUACAUGAUAUAUUCUUUCACUAUGAGUUGAAUAAGGUCCAGAUCAAAUUGAAGCAGAAGACACAGAUUUCAUGCAAAGAACUGAGGAGGUAGCUUUAAAGCUAUAAAAUUAGCAAUUUUCUCCUGGCCCUUUCCAUUUUUCUCAAAAUUCAAGUAAAAUUUUUUUCAGUUAAAAAUAAGCAAGACACAAUAACUGCAGUCAAAUCACAUACAAAGUACCCUAAAACUUAAAGUAUAAUAAUAAUAAAAUAAAAAAUAAAACAAAGUUAUUAUAGAAGAGAAUAUGAAGUAGAAUAAUGUUUUUGUAAACAAUGAAAGCAAAUCAAAUGGAUACAUUCAAAAAAGUUUCUCCUUCUAGUGGAGCCAUCCUUAUACAUUGGAGCCUGAAGAGCGUGCUCACAUUUUCAGAAGCUGCUUCAGGCUGACCUGACGCGCAUCCUGUGAGCACCUGCUGGUGGCAUUGAUUCCAUGCUCCCAGGACCAUCAGAAGCUGCUGCAUUUCUCCCACCUUCUUCCAAGAAGAUGGUGAUGCCAUGAGGUUUUGUCUGAAGUUUAACCCAUCUGUCCAAAUUUUCGGGUUGAUGGGGAUACCUGGCCACCCAGUUUGUUGUAGAUAUUUUCUGUAAAAUUUUGGUUUUCCUCUAUUAGGCAAAAUUUAAAAAUACUCUUGCAUUUUUUGUUGUGUAUUUUUGAAUGCAUAUUUUUGUUCCCCAGAUUUAAAAUUUUGGAUUUUCUGCUUUUCUUGAAGAGCUAGAUGAUAGAGCAAGACAGUCUACAUUUAUUUCAUGUCUGAAAGGCUGGAAAAGAGAUCAUGUUCCCCACCAUCUUCACCUGAUCAUAUUUGUCUAAUAUAGAUACUUCCGUGAGCAGCCCAAGCCCCUCUUCACUGACAAGUUCUACCUCACCUUAACCGAGGGCAUUGCUCUUUCAGACAGACCACCUUGCAAAGGACAGCUGCAUACUCAACCUGCCGCUGUUUCUCCUGGAGGCCAACCUGGUGACCUUCCUCUUCCCUCUGGACCGCCUGAGAAGGGCGGCAGAAAAGGAGAUGGUGACAAGAUGCCUCUGCACAACCUCGCCAUGGUUUUGGCCCCAUGAUGCUCUGGCUUUCUAGUCUUCAUUGCUUUGUCUCCAACUCAAGCAUAGUUUUUGUUUGUUUGUUUGUUUGUUUUACUCAUUCUUGAGAGGAAGCCAUUAGCUUUCUUUGGAUGCUUUGUCAUUUAUCUUAUGUGACUACACCAGUUAAUCAAAGGAUCACUUGCUGCUCUUCUUCCACUAAAACAACACCCACUUCAUGCUCAUUGUCUAAAGUGGGGGCAUCAUUUGUAACUACAGAUACUAAUUGUGGGGAUCCCAGGUUUAUUAUGUGGGAGAGACUGAGACUCCCCUCAUCUGUCCCCUGAGGAGGGUUCAUAGGUGAGUGAGAAAGGGACAAGGCAGCGAUGUGGACAUCUCCCCACAUUGCCCAAGGGGCAUUGCUUCCUAGUGAGGAAACUCUCGCUGCAGUUUUCUGGCAGGGAAAUAAUACAAUCUCCAGAUCAUUUAUCAAUUUUGUUUUUUUUAAAUAAAUAUUUUGCCAUUAUUAGAUGAGUAUAUAAAAAAUAAAUAAUAUGGAUUUAUCUUGCAGUGUACCAUUUAACUCCAUCCCAAAAUAGAUCUAUUAUCUUCUCUUUUGUUCAAUGAAUACUAUUCAUACCUAGGCAAAACUGUUGCUGUUACUCAUGAUUUAAGGGCAUUAGGAAUACAACUCUAGGGAAAAAAUACUGCUAUUGGAAACCAAAAAGAGUGUCUGGGACAGGUGUCAAUCUAUUUAGAGGUUUUUUUCACCAAGGUUGAGGAUGCACCCGGGAAAAAGAGACACAAGCCACAGUGGAAUCUGUGGCCUGCACUUUUUCCAAAGAGUUUUGAGGGUUUCAAUAUUUAUAGGGGAAAAAGCAGGCCAAAGGGAAAGGAAAGAAGACAAAAAGGGGAGAGUAGAAAAAAUGAGACAAGUGGUCUCAUUGUCUUGAGGCUUUCAUUAGUUCUCACUGAAGCCACAGGUUGCCCAUGAAAAGGAGGGGGUAGAGGAACAGCUGAUUAUGUGCUCGCCUGGCACUGGUAAGGCUGCACCUCACAUGAGAUAAAGCAAACAUAGAGUAGAGGAAGCAUCAACAUGCAUUUGUCUUGGGGUGGUGGUAGGAAUAUUUCUAGUUUCCUUUUGUCCUGUAUCCCUGAAGAUAAGUUGCUAAUUUACAUGGUCAGGGUGAGGGAGGUAACCUGGAAAGAUAUGUUUAGGAACAAAAGGAAAGAUGGUUUCUGGGUGUGACUCAGUUUCCAAGUUUAACUUUCCCUUUUGGCAUAGCGAGUUUGGGGUCCCAACAUUUUAUUUUCCUUUUACACUAUUGACUACUAACAGUCUUUGUUGUUAAAUUCCAUCUGUUUUAAAAUUUUAAUAAAAUAUUUAUAUCAUAAAAUAUAAAUUAUUCACUUAUAAGAUUAAUAUAAAUAAUAUUAACAAAACAUUGUCUUGAAAAAUGUAGUUUGACAAAGUUUCAAUCUGAGUAAAAGAUAGUAUCUUAAAUACAGUAUUUUUUCACUGCUGGUGAGAGAGAAUCUAAACUUUCUGUGAAGACUAAGAAAGUCUCACAUUCUUGGUGCACGCCAGGAAGCCCCGUGUUCCUUGGAUGUGGAGGAGUUGAACAUGAAGGAGCUGGCUGUGAUGUCAGCAUGUGAAGGUGGAGGAACUCCAGCCCAGGAGGGGCUCCUGGAUCCACCCGCCCCAGAUGGACUCGAGGUGGGGAAGGCAGCCUGGAGGCUUGGGAGGCCUGAGUAGAGAGGAGGGAACAGCGCUCCCUUAAGACCCAGGCCCACUCCCAGGGAAGGGAGCAGCAGGGCCACACUCUUGGCCACCUUGGAAGAGCUCCUUGCUGUGGGCUGAUUCCCACGACCUUGUCUAGGGAUUCCAGCAUUUUAGGUAGCUCCUCCAUUGCCUUCGUUGGUUAGAGCAUUUGGAACUUUUCUUUUUCACUUCUCGAACCAAAGAAGUUAAUUCCUUCAUCGAUACCAAGUUGGCACUCUUCACCUUUUUGUAAGCAUCUGCAAGGCUGGGAAUAUUUAAAGACUCCUUCUUUAGCCAGGCAUUCUCUAGUGCUGCCUCCAUCUCUGCAUACUCCUUUUUCAAAACACCAAGCUUCUAAAUGAAUUGAUUUUUUUCUCACAUUCUGCAGCCUGUGUUUUGUGAGUCACUUUUCAUGUCUUACAUAAAGUCAGCUUCUAACAGAUUCAACAAGUCUGAACAAAAAUAAAAGACCUACCAAGAAGCUGAUGAGACCAGUGUCUCCCCUGAUGGCUUUGGAAAGUGAGUUGUGGACUGAAGCCAUUGGGCAGCAUCUUAUAUAUCACCUCACACAUUUCGUAAAUAUCAGCCCCAAACGAAGUUUCACAGAAGAUCCCGGCCCCUCCAUCCCUGCAACCAUGGAUUCUGCACCACAACAAACCCUGGGGAACACCUCAGCAUUCCACCUGGAAUCAACCAGGAACAGGCAGCCUAUACUAGUCAGUUUCAUGGUCACCAUCAAGGAGGAUUAGUAAAUAAACAUGCUUGUCUCCUUACUGUCUAGUAAUCAGUCUUCUUUACCUGUUUCUUAUUGUAUGUGUAUCAACAGACAAUUAAAAUAUAGUGAAAGGUGCCAAUCUUAAGUGUAUAGCUUGAAUAAGCCUUUAAAAUGUUAUACCCCCACUGCGUCCUGCAACCCUAUCAAGGUAUGAGUCCUGUGUAUCAACACAGAAAUCCCCCCCAGUUCCUUUCCAAUCAGUGUCCACUCGCCCUGACUCACGCAGCCUUGGAGAAGGUUGCUCUGAACACAUCCCAGUUGAGCCUCAGCAUCAAGGUCAUGGAAUCAAUUACAAUGUGCUUUCUGAUCUCUGCCUGCUUUGCUCAAAGUGUUUUUGAAACUUAUCUGUUCU
RNAcentral lists this long non-coding RNA (3970 nucleotides) under Homo sapiens (human). RNAcentral's name for it is "HSALNT0257864". The record is from RNAcentral. Lineage: Eukaryota; Metazoa; Chordata; Mammalia; Primates; Hominidae.